GGGCAGCCAAGUCGUGAGGCGGAGCUAAUCCCUUAAAGCCAUCCUCAGUUCGGAUUGUAGGCUGAAACUCGCCUACAUGAAGCUGGAGUUACUAGUAAUCGCAGAUCAGAAUGCUGCGGUGAAUGCGUUCCCGGGUCUUGUACACACCGCCCGUCACACCACGGAAGUUGGGGGCGCCCGAAGCCACUUAGCUAACCCUUUUGGGAAGCGAGUGUCGAAGGUGAAAUCAAUAACUGGGGUGAAGUCGUAACAAGGUAAC
RNAcentral lists this ribosomal RNA (259 nucleotides) under uncultured bacterium. Its description in RNAcentral is "partial 16S ribosomal RNA". It matches the Rfam family "Bacterial small subunit ribosomal RNA", at positions 1244 to 1500 of the family's 1533-position model. The record is from RNAcentral.